RNAcentral lists this long non-coding RNA (1622 nucleotides) under Homo sapiens (human). Its description in RNAcentral is "HSALNT0136977". The stretch from base 481 to 689 matches the Rfam family "Small nucleolar RNA SNORA73 family". The record is from RNAcentral. Lineage: Eukaryota; Metazoa; Chordata; Mammalia; Primates; Hominidae.
CUACAUGGGAGGCUGAGGCAGGAGAAUCACUCGAACCUGGGAAGCGGAGGUUGCAGUGAGCCGAGAUCGCGCUACUGCACUCCAGCAGCCUGAUGGAGACUAGGGAGGCAGGCACCAAAUUUGGCAAUCAAUGCCCAUAAAAUAUUCAGUGCAAACAUCAAGAGACAGAAAAUGGGAUUGGUAACAUGGAUACUGAGGAAACCAACUCAGAAAGGUUAAGUAAGUAACUUAAGUUCACACAGCAUAAAAUGCAAGUGGCAGAGUCAAGAGGCAAACCCAGGACUGUCUGAUUACGAAGCCUGGUCUCACCAUUUUAUGUCACUUCCUUCCAGUCAGAGCCGACCAGUCUCCAGGAAUUUGACUGCUGACUGCAUUUAUCCACUUUGGGAAAUCUCUAGUAAUAAAAGGGAGACACGCUGAGUAAUAAGUGUGAAGUUUAGAACACAAACCUUGCAAGAGCUUUCAAGAAUAAAUAAAAUUCCAACAUGGAUAGUCUGGGAGGUCACUCUCCCCAGGCUCUGUGGAAGUGGUGUUGGGGAGCAUAGACGUUUGGUCCAUGACGUACAGUACAGCCCCUUUCCACAAUGCUGGAGAUGAAGCUGGGUCUCCUGUCUGCGCCUGCAUAUUCCUAUAGCUUCCCUGAGUCCUGUGGAUGAUGACUGGUGAGACAAAUCGUGCAGGAAACAAGUUUAGUUUGAAAAAAAAAAAAACAACAACAAAAAAACCCAACAUAUUUGGAAUGUGAUAGACAACAAGUGAAUAGACAAUCUCACUUAGAAAUUGUAUUUAAUAGAGUUAAUAAAUUCAGUUGCCUUUUGCUGGGGAGUAUUGAACAAUUUCAUCUCCCCCAAAAGACUCUGGAGUCAAAGGUGGUGUUUAGACUCCGUUACCCGGAGCACUGGUCUCUCAUCUGUGUCAGGUACUUGACACAGAGGUAUUUUACAGAGGAGGGGUGCUAAGUCACGAGAAGGAUGAACAGGAAGAGAAGAGUGAUGACAGGCUGGAGGUUAAGAACAGAGAUUCCGAAGUUUCACAGUAUGAGUAGGAACUCACUGACUAGCUGUAUGCUUUGCUAAUGCUUCAUCCUCUCCAACAUUAAGCUUCAUCGUCUGUAAAAGGAAUCCCGUAAUGUCUAUGUCUCAGGGAUCCUGUGAGGGUGAGGUUAGGCAUCGCACAUGAAGGGCUUAGCUUAGCAAGUACUAGUUGCUUGUUAAUCUUUAUUACAAUGGCAGUUGAGCAUAUACUUUACCUAUGGAGCACAUUUUACCUCUGAGCACCCUAGAGGAAGGAGAGUUUGGCAGUUUAGCAAGGGGGUCAGGGGAUGUAGGAGGAUGGCUACACAACGUGCACUAAACUCACAAUUAGGGAGCACAAUCAUGCUUUGUUCCGAAAUGGCAAGUUUUUUGACAAUGUGUCUUUAUAUCCAUUGCUGGGUUUUUUUUGUUGUUUGUUUGUUUUGUUUUGUUUUGUUUUUAAGAUGGACUGUCUCUCUGUUGCCUAGGCUGGAGUGUAGUGGCGCGAUCUUGGCUCACUGCAACCUCCGCCUCCCGCGUUGAAGCAAUUCUCCUGCCUCAGUCUCCUGUGUAGCUGGGAUUACAGGUGCCUGCCACCAUGCCCAGCUA